Molecule: long non-coding RNA, 5910 nt
Filed under: Homo sapiens (human)
Lineage: Eukaryota; Metazoa; Chordata; Mammalia; Primates; Hominidae
Description: HSALNT0356550
Source: RNAcentral
AGAAAGUAGAGCUGUGAAGGACUAGAAAGAGCUUAGGAGAGUCAAUGCCUCCAACCCGCUGCAAACAAGCCCGAAGCACCAUUGUCCCUCUGCAUGAGGCAGUGAGGUCCCUGCAAGUCACGGCUGCUGCAGGAGUGCACACAGGAUGGUGAGGUAGUCUGGCCCAUGACCCAGGGCCUGGUACAGCAGGGUCUUCGUUUCUCCCUGGCCAUCUGCACUUUCCUGUCCAUGGGCUGGAACAGUGACAGACAGAAGCUGCCUUUCCGGACCUCAGCAAAUGUGCUGGGGCAAGGCCAUGGACUAGGGCACCAGGAUCCUUCUGUGCCCCCAACAGAUUCCUUUCAUGAGCUCAGUGUCUCUGCCACCUGUCUGAGCAGCUCCUAAAUUAGCAGCUCAAACCUCCUCCACCACACAAAAGCCAGUCUGUGCAUCCUGUUCAGACAGUGGCUCUUUCCCGACCAUCCUUCUUAAAAAAGGCACCACUAAUCCCCAUCUCAUUGGAAACUUUACCUCCCUCUGCUUUUUCUCCAAAAUUCUCAGCACAGUCUACGUAAACUGUUCAUUUUAUAUAUUUAUGUCUCCAUCAUCCCCUCCCCACACUAGACUGGGAGCUCUGUGGGGGCACAGACGUAUCUGUUUUGAUUACCACCAUAUCCCACACAUCUAAAGCAGCGCCAGGGCACACAGUAGGCUCCUGAAUAUCUGCUGAAUGAAUGAACACAGAAAUGAGGAAGGUAUUUCCUGCAAGCAACCUCAUCUCAGUCGUCACAGAAGAAGCUGUCGUUGUGUAGAAACCCACGCACAAGAAGGUGCUAUCACUGCCCCACCCCUGUCCGUCCCUGCUACCAUCGAGGGUGUCUUUCAUUGUUGCAUUUUAAAUGAGAAAAGACAGUGUCUAACAUGAACAGAAGGAGCUCUAUCGUGGAUAUUUUAGGUCAGGGUGGGUGGGGGAGAUCAUUUUGAGCAGAGAGCUUUCCUGAGUGUCCAGGGGCCCACCUCCAUCAUCUGCCCCAGCCUCUAGCAGUAACAGUGUGAAAGAGCUCUCACAGGCUCUGUUGCAUGCCAGUAUAGAAGUCAUGGGGCUGCAUCGCACACCUAGAGGUAAACUCAUUUGCUGGGUGUGAUCAGAGCACCUGGCCACUGCAGCUCAACAGGUGAGCAAAUAAAUAGCAUGCCAUUGUUCCUCUUCCACCAAAGCCAUGAUUUCCUGGUUAGUUUGUAUUUGACAUCAAGGCCAAAUGACAAUAAUUUUUUUUUUUAAACUGGGUCUCACUCUGUCACCCAGGCUGGAGUGCAGUGGCGCAACCUCAGCUCACUGCAGCCUUGACCUCCCACGGUUCACAUGAUCCUCCCACCUCAGCCUCCCAAGUAGCUGGGGCUACAAGCACAUUCCACCACACCCAUCUAAUUUUUGUAAUUUUUUUUUUUUUUUGUAGCAAUAGGGUUUCACCAUGUUGCCCAGGCUGAUCUCGAACUCCUGGGCUCAAGCAAUCCACCAGCCUCAGCCUUCCAAAUUUCUGGGAUUACUGGUGUGAGACAUGCAGCCCUGGCCUCGACAGUCACUUUCAAAUUAUUUAACUUCUCUAGUGACCUAAUGGUUGAUCUUUUUAUUUUAUCAUGCUUAUACCGUCUCUCUAGUCUUAGGUAUAAUUUCUCUGCAGGACAUGUUGUUGUAGUAAAAGGAAGACCAUAAGAAGAUGACAAUGGCCAUGAGCACUACAGUGAAGCCCCACGGUGGUGUUGGUAAAGGAAGUUCCAAUAGCAGUUCAGUGUCUGCAGGUGGAGCACAAGAAGCCGGGACAACAAGCAGGUCCUCAGUCCUCAUGGCUUCCUCCCACGGUAGUUGUGAGGUCUAGGGAGGUCAUGCCACUCUCCCAGUGCCCAUAUUCUUGGCUAGUAAUACCAGUGUUAUGCUAGAGGCAGUCUGAUGUCUUUCGAAACGCACGUCUCAUCAAGACAAAGCAGCCUAUCUCUCAGGUAAUGUAGGAACUUGGAAAGAGGCAAUUAAAAGAUGACUCUAAGGCAGGGUGUGGUGGCUCACGCCUGAAAUCCCCACAUUGUGGGGGGCCGAGGCGGGUGGAUCACCUGAGGUCAGGAGUUGGAGGCCAGCCUGGCCAACAUGGUAAAACCCCAUCUCUACUAAAAAUACAAGAAAAUUAGCUAGGUGUGGCGUUAAGCACCUGUAAUCCCAGCUACUCAGGAAGCUGAGGCAGGAGACUCACUUGAACCAGGAGGAGGUGGUUGCAAUGAGCCAAGACUGCACCAUGGCACUCCAGCCUGGGCAACAGAGUGAGACUCCAUGGCAGGAAGAGAAGGGAAGGGAAGGGAAGGGAAGGGAAGGGAAGGGAAGGGAAGGGAAGGGAAGGGAAGGGAAGGGAAGGAAAGGGAAAGGAGAAGGCAGAAGAGAAAAGAGAAAGAAAGGAAAAGAAAGGAAAAUGAAAAGAAAAAAGAAAAGAAAAGACUCUAUGAGCCCUGAUGGUACUCUAAAUCAAAGUUCCUGAAGCCUGGAACACCAGAGCUUCCAUACAAGCUUUCCAUAGUUUGACCCAAAUUAAUAAUCAGAUCUGAAGUGUCAUUUAGAUGAACGUGGCAGCAGUUCUCCGGGAACCCCCUCUGAAGUCAGAUUUCACUGUCUGCUCUUAAGCUUGUUUCAAGAAAGGAAAUUGACCAUAAAAGCUCCUAUCCACUUCCUGAUGAUAAAGACAACUAUCCAGUCUUGGCUUUUACUGCAGUCAUUGCUAUUGCAUCAUUUCCAUUAAUCUUCUCAGUGGCCCAGGGAGAUUGGAGUGCCAUCAUUAAUUUGAAAAGUAAUAAAAGUUCUAGAUUGAGCCAUUUCCUGCAUUCUUAAAACAAGGAAUGUCUAUAUCUAACCUUCCACAUUCCCAAGGUCAACGUCACCAACUAUCUCCAGGUUAAGUCCAGGGAUCGGUCUCCGUCCCCAUCAGUGAGGCCCUGGCUGUCCCACCAAGUAUUUCCCAAGUAUUUCAAGGCUAUUCUUGAAACUGUCUUUCCAAAAUUAUGACUGAGACAGUGAAAGAUAUCUAACAAACGACUCCAUCUUGCUUCUAACCUCCAAGCUGUCCUUGUUCAUUCCUGGGUGUAGGCUGAACUAACUUUGGGAGAAACUUUAUAGUUUAAAACAAAGAUGAUAACAUCCCUUUCCCAAAGCCGACCUCUUUCUUGCCUGGGGACUAGAUUGCCUUUGUAGGACCAACAUUAGCCAAAAGAUGAGAAAUUAUGGUUUAGGAGUCAUGCAGCUGGAGGCUACAAGAUUCUGACCCUCCCUAAACUGCUCCUAAGAUCAGUGCUCUAGAUACCCUGCACUUGAUAGAUCAGCUGGCACCACCCAGAUCAAUAAACUGUCUCAUCUGAUCUUGUGGUCCCCACCCAGGAACUGAUUCAGCAUAAGAAGACAGCUCCAACUCCGUAUGAUUUCAUCUCUGAGCAGUCGGCACUCCUCCUGGCUCACUUGUUUCCCCCCAUCCACCAAGUUAUCCUUAAAAACUCUGUUCCCUGGAUGUUCAAGGAAACUGAUUUGAGUAAUAAUAAAACUCCAGUCAGUCCUUCACAGCCGGCUCUGCAUGAAUUCCUCUUUCUCUAUUGCAGAUCCCCUGUCUUGAUGAACCAGCUCUGAACCCACUGGGCAGUUACAUUGUUGGCUAUUUGCAUGUGCUUUCUUAGGAUUUCAUUUCCCUCUUCCUCUCCAAUUCUGCCACGAGCCUGAAACUGGACUUUUGAAAUUGCCUCCUAACUGGUCUUCCUGCCGCUGGUACCUCAUCUACAUACAUCUAGAAUGAUCUUCCUAUAGGACAAAUGGGAUCACUUCAAUCAUCUUAGUUCACUUUAAUGCUUAUUGAGCAAGGUCUGGUGGAUAUAAAAAGGGGAACCAGAGUGGCCGUGGUGGCUCAUGCUUGUAAUCCCAGCACUUUGGGAGGCCGAGGCGGGUGGAUCACAUGAGGUCGGGAGUUCGAGACCAGUCUGACCAACAUGGAGAAGCCCCAUCUCUACUAAAAAUACAAAAUUAGCCGGGUGUGGUGGCACAUCCCUGUAAUCCCUGCUACUCAGGAGGCUGAGAGAGGAGAAUCGCUUGAACCCGGGAGGCAGAGGUUGUGGUAAGCCGAGAUCGUGCCAUUGCACUCCAGCCUGGGCAACAAGAGCGAAACUCCGUCUCAAAAAAAAAACAAAAGGGUGGGGGUGGGGGAACCAGAGACAUCCCUAUUGUGAUGGUUAAUUUGAGUGUCAUCUUGAUUGGAUUGAAGGAUACAAAGUAUUGUUCCUGGGUGUGUCUGAGAGGGUGUUGCCAAAGGAGAUUAACAUUUGAGUCAGCGGACUGGGAGAGGCAGAUCCACCUUCAAUCCGGGAGGGCACCAUCGAAUCAGCUGCCAGCACAGCUAGGAUAAAAGCGGACAGAGGAACGUGGAAGCACUAGACUGGCUGAGUCUUCCAGUCUUCAUCUUUCUCCUGUGCUGGAUGCUUCCUGCCCUCAAACAUUGGACUCCAAGUUCUUCAGCUUUUGGACUCUUGGGCUUACACCAGUGGUUUGCCAGGGGCUCUCGGGCCUUCGGCCACAGACUGAAGGCUGCACUGUCGGCUUCCCUACUUUUGAGGUUUUGGGACUCGGACUGGCUUCCUUGCUCCUCAGCUUGCAGAUGGUCUAUUGUGGGACUUCACCUUGUGAUCACCAAUGAAGAGCCCUCGUGACUGGACCUCAUGCCAAACAACUCGCUACAAAAAGAGCUAGGUUCCCAGACUGCGCCGAAGCUUCAUGAGACCUCUCCUCAUCUGUGCACAGAGGAGUGGCCGACUCUGGAGCCCAGGCGGUCGCUUCCCGGUCUGGUGCUGAAUCCUCCAUAGUCUGACUGUGGAAAUAAUGUUAGACAAAAAGCAAAUUCAAGUGCUUUUCUUAUCCGAGUUCAAAAUGGGUUGUAAAGCAGCGGCGACAACUUGCGACAUCAACAAUGUAUUUGGCCUACUGUACUAAAAAACAUAUAGUGCAGUGGUGGUUCAAGAAGUUUUGCAAAGACGAGGAGAGCCUUGAAGAUGAGGAGUGUCGUGGCCAGCCAUCGGAAGUUGACAAAGACCAAUUGAGAGCAAUCGCAGAAGCUGAUCCUCUUACAACUACAUGAGAAGUUGCUGAUAACUCAACGACAACCAUUCUACAGUCAUUGGGCAUUUGAAGCAAAUUGGAAAGAUGAAAAAGCUCAGUAAGUGGGUGCCUCAUGAGCUGAGCAAAAAUCAAAAAAAUUAUUGUUUCAAAGUGUCAUCUUUUCUUAUUCUACACAACAGCAAGGAGUCAAUUCUUGAUCAGAUUUGUGACAGGCAAGAAAAGUGGAUCUUAUAUGACAACCAGUGACAACCAGCUCAGUGGCUGGACCAAGAAGAAGCUGCAAAGCACUUCCCAAAGGCAAUCUUGCACCAAAACAAGGUCGUGGUCACUGUUUGGUGGUCUACUGCUGGCCUGAUCCACUACAGCUCUCUGAAUCCCAGUGAAACCAUUAUAUCUGAGAAGGAUGCCCAGCAAAUCAAUGAGAUGCGCUGAAAACCUCAAUGCCUGCAGCCGGCAUUGGCCAACAGAAACAGCCCAAUUCUUCCCCAGGACAAAGCCCAACCACAUGUCCCACAACCAGUGCUUCAAAAAUUGAACAAAUUGGACUACAAAGUUUUACCUCAUCUGCCAUAUUCACACGACCUCUCACCUACCAACUACCACUUCUUCAGACACUUUGACAACUUUUUGCAGGGAAAACGCUUCCAUAACCAGCAGGAUGCAGAAAAUGCUUUCCAACAGUUCAUCAAAUCCCAAAGCAUGGAUUUUUAUGCUACAGGAAUAAACAAACUCAUUUCUCAUUGGCAAAAAUGUGUUGAUUGUAAUGGUCCCUAUUUUUAUUAAUAAAGAUGUUUGUGAACCUA